This is an RNA transcript of Chroicocephalus ridibundus (black-headed gull), 5522 nucleotides long. RefSeq lists it as uncharacterized. NCBI's taxonomy places the organism in Eukaryota, Metazoa, Chordata, Aves, Charadriiformes, Laridae. The transcript has 3 exons. The record is from RefSeq and is a predicted model, not a curated record.
GCCAUCUUGUGCGCGGCGGCAGGCCCGGCGGCGCGGCUCCCACGCCAGCCCCCACCGGCGGUAGGGAGCGGCAGCAUUCCCGGGGGGAGCGGGCGCUGUUCCCCGUCACCUGUCGGGACCGGGUGCCUGGGCAGCGGAGACCCUCCCGCCAUGGCGACGCCCGCACGCCCAGCUCCUCCUCGACCUUCCUCCCGUCAUGCACCGCGCGUCUCCGCCUGUUCCGGCCCAGCGCCGCGCGGUGAUUGGCCUCUCGGGCGUCCUACCCGGAAGCGGGCGCCGCGGCAAGAGAUUUGAACGGCAGCGGCCGCCCCGGGAGGCGGCUGCCGAGCCGAGUCUGCUCAGCGUGGAGAAGCCCAAAGGCCGGCUGCAGUUUCUCCUCGCAGGGGCUGAGAAGAAUUGCCAGGUCCCCGUUGCUCUCAGAAUGGCUUUAGGUGAUUAUGAGGAAAUUCUCAAGUGCUACGAAUCCCAUGAAAGGACUGGGACAGAGCUCUGGCAGUGUCACUGGAGGUGGGUGUCAGUGGUCGCUUCUUGCUCUAGUGAAGACGCUGCCCGCUGUGCGCGUGACACAUUCGCUGCCCCUGUGAGAUUACAGGCAAGAAAAGACGUCCUCACGCUGAGCUUUCAAGGUCUCUUUUUCCGGUUCUAGGUGGGUUUGCUGAUUAUUUCGAUGUUCUUCGGUGGCUCGACUCAUGGGUGUGUGGGCACCUACGUGAUGUACUUUCACCACUAGUUUCCCCAGCGGGUCAGCAAUAUCUUGCCAUACUUGAGCAGCCCAGAGGGGUUUACCUCUGGGUUUGCCUGUGCUGCCAGUUGCUCUGCUUCCAGUGCCUCUGGCCUUCUUGUGGGGCUGCCACCACUGGUGGGGCCACUCUCCACCCCUCCCGGCGCCCCGAGCGUGCCUGGGGGAGGAACUGCCGCUCUGCUCAGCAGCAGAAGGCCCCACUGGGCCUUCCGUGGGGCCCUGCGAGGCCCGGGAGAGGCCCUGGGGCUCUUGGUGGGGACCGCUUGGCCCAGCUCAUGCUCCUGAGAGGGCCGGAGAAGCCCUGGGGUUGCCUGGAGGGCAGCAGGGCCCUGCCCGUGCCCCAGACAAGCCCGGCUGCUGCGUCCGGGUAUGGAAUUGGCCAUGUCCACCAGCUAUCCCCAGGGUGUUCAGCCUCCUGAGCUGGGAGAUAAGGAUGGAGAGCAGAACAACCCACCCAUAACCCAGGAGGAAGUAGCCAAUGACCUGCUUCUGCACCCAGACGCACAGAAGUCUAUGGGGCCGGAUGGGAUUCACCCAAGAGUACUCAGGGAGCUGGCGGGAGAGCUCACCAAGCCUCUCUCCAUCGUUUAUCAACAAUCCUGGUCAACAGGGCAGGUCCCAGAUGCCUGGAGGGUGGCUAAUGUGACGCCCAUCUACAAGAAGGGUCGGAAGGAGGAUCCGGGGAACUACAGGCCUGUCAGCCUGACCUCGGUACCAGGAAAGAUCAUGGAGAGGAUCAUCUCGAGUGAGCUCUCACGGCAAGCGCAGGGCAGCCAAGGGAUCGGGGCCAGCCAGCAUGGCUUUAGGAAAGGGAGGUGCUGCUUAACCAACCUGAUCGCUUUCUGUGACCAUGUUACCCGCCUUCUGGAUGCGGGGAAGGCUGUGGACGUUGUCUGUCUGGACUUUGGCAAGGCCUUUGACACCGUCCCCCACAGCAUUCUCCUGGAGAAGCUGGCGAUCCAUGGCAUAGACGAGUGUACUCUUUGCUGGGUUAAAAACUGGCUGGCUGGCCGUGCCCAGAGAGUUGGGAUUCUAAAUAUGCGUAUGGAGUAGUCCACACUUUUGGAAAAAUUUGGGAGGAAAGAGGUUUAAUUAAUACCCAAGGAAGGAAUCUAAUACAUCAAGAACUAAUAGUGAAAAUUUUAAAGGCGUUAAGAAAACCAAAGGAGAUAGCAGUGGUACAUGUGAGAGGACACCAAAAGGGAUUAGAUUAUCGAACCAGAGGGAAUAACCUAGCCGAUAGAGAGGCCCAGGAAGCAGCCCUGAGGACUCACGUCGCUAAAAUUAAUGUAGUACAAGUACAAGGAGACAUUAGUGAAAAAGAACUAGAGGAGAAAGAAAAGAAAUUUACCCCUGAGGAACAGGCAAAAUUAGAGAAAAUAGGAGCUAAGUUAGAACAGGGAAAAUGGAUGCUGCCCGACGGGCGAGAGAUGUUGCCAAAAGCUUAUGCCAGGCAAAUAUUAGAACGCUUACACACACAAACACAUUGGGGUACAAAGGCGAUAAGUGAUCAUUUCCUUAAACAAUUUGGCUGUAUUGGGAUUUUUGAAAUAGCAAAGCAAAUCAGGCGAGGAUGUUUAACUUGUCAAAAAGUAAACAAGAAAGUGUUUCGACAAGCAGCCACGGGAGGAAGGAAAACAGCUUAUAGACCUUUUGAAAGAAUACGAGUCGAUUUUACUGAAUUGCCUAAGGUAGGGAGAAUAAAAUAUUUACUAGUACUAGUAGAUCAUUUAACACAAUGGGUAGAAGCUUACCCUGUAGCGCGAGCUACGGCACAGAUGGUAGUAAAAAUCUUAUUAGAACACUUAAUACCUAGAUAUGGGAUAAUCCAGUAUAUUGAUUCUGAUCAGGGCGCACAUUUUACUUCUAAAAUAAUAAAAUUAUUAUGUCAAUCAUUAGGUAUUCAAUGGGAAUACCACACUCCGUGGCACCCACAAAGCUCAGGGAAAGUAGAAAGAAUGAAUCAAACAAUAAAACAGCAAUUGGCUAAAUUAAUGAUUGAGACACAGAUGUCCUGGACGAAAUGCCUACCAUUGGCACUAUUAAACAUAAGAACUAAGCCACACAGUGAGACUGGAUUAUCGCCAUAUGAAAUGUUAUAUGGAAUGCCUUACUCCCAAGGGAUGCCCCUGGGGAACAAUGUGGUUGAAGAUUAUAGUAUCCAAAAAUAUAUAAUAUCCAUUGGAAAAAGGUUAAAAGAACUACGAGAGAUUGGGAUGAUGGCUCAAACACCACCAUUAGGAUUUGACACAUGUGUCGUGAGUGAAAGGUCCAGUGAAGGAGUGGAGAGUCACAUCUGAGCCCGGAGAAGCCAAGCUAACCAUCAGCCGAACUUAAAGAGACCUUCAUCAAGAAGCAUAAGCCAAGUUGCUGUGGGAAUUUCAUUGUAACUACUCCUGUAGAAUUAGUGGACAGGGAUAAAUACCUAUUAGGAAAGGUGAUUUAGUCCAUUGUGUAAACGGUGCUGUUUAUUUUUAAGGGCAAAGUGUUCUACAUGUUUUAAAAUAUAUCAUUUUCCAAAAAAGAAGUCAAGGAUCUAGGAAACAGUUUAGAAUUUUUGUGCAUUCGCUGUGGGGCCACCACUCCCCUAUAUAACCUACCAUGGGUUAGGCUUUAUUGUUGUCAAUUUAAUCAAAGAGUGCUUCUUGAUUAAAGGUUACCCCUUAAAAGAUUAAGGAAGAGGGCAAGACCGGAGGGGAACGAGUGGUGCGGCUUGAAAGGUCUGCCAAGGGCUGCAACCCCUUCGGGCUGUGACCGCCGAUCACUAUGGCCCUGACCGGACCGCUUCUGGUCCUCUUUGGGGUAAGCUCCUUGACUCUGGUUAUGGCAAACAACUGCAGCCAGUGCGUAGGAACUACUAGGAGGGGACGGGUAAGUUCCCAGACUUUGGUUUAUAAUAUCGAAAUAAAAGAAAGAAUAAGGGAAUCGGUACAGCACAGACUACUAUUUAACUCAUUUUAUCAUGAAAUAGAAACAGGAGUGGAAUAUGAAAUUCCCACAGUUGCUAAAAAUCUCUUUGUAAAUCUUGCUGAAAACAUUGCUAAGUCAUUAAAUGUAACUAAUUGUUAUGUUUGUGGUGGAACAAGCCAAGGUGAACGAUGGCCAUGGGAGGCUAUGGAGAGCAACAUUAGUAAUCCUCAAAUAUGGAAAACAAUGCGAGACAAAAUACCAAGAUGAGAACUGCUUUGUACCAAAAUCGCUUAGCCUUGGAUUAUUUGCUAGCACAAGAGGGAGGUGUUUGUGGGAAGUUUAACCUUAGUAAUUGUUGUUUAGAAAUUGAUGAUGAAGGGGAAGCUGUAAAUGAACUUGUAAAAGAAAUGAAGAAAAUUGCACAUGUCCCAGUUCAGACUUGGACUGGAGUCGACCUAGAAGGAUUCUGGGAAAACUUUACGGGAGGUGAUUGGCUUACUAAAAUCGGGAUUGUUAUAUUGGGGGCAUUUGCAGGAUUGUUAAUAAUUCCAUGUUUUAUACCUUGUUUUAUUAGACUAAUACACUCAGUUAUACAAGGAACGCAGAUGGCUACAGAACCUGUUGAUUCAGAACCAGGGAAAGAGAAAACUCUUUCCCUGAUGAUACUAAAGACAAAAGAAGAUUCGAAACUAACACCCAUUCGGCAAGUAUUAACUCGGUUGGCAACAAAAACACGAAUCAAUGCCAUAGAAAAAGAAAAUGGGGGAUUGUGAGAUGUGCUUAACUGAUUCGUGUCAGUGUGGAACAGUGUUAGGGCCACAGGGUGAAGUGUGACCUUUGACUGUUUUGUCUGUCUGGCCGCAGAUGAGACGGUGUGUCUGUCGUGUCUGUGUUUUGCAGGAGCCACCUGGCGAACAUUCUAGAAUACCACCUUAAACUGGUCCUGUUGUUAUCUGCAUAGUGACCUGUAAGGGGGGGGAUACACCCAUUUUUGGCAAGGGCCAACCAUUUUAGAGGCAGUUAUGAAUAUGUAUUAGUAUAGGAGAUAUAAACCAAAAAUGGGGUCUGUAAGGUGUGUGUCUUGGUUGGGCAGGGACCCCAGGCACACCCAGCGCUGUUUGCUUGCCUUUGUUCCUUUAAUAAAUUAUAAAUUCUAAUUGGAAUCCUGUUUGCGAUUAAAUCAUUUAUCACAAUGGGGUGAAAUCCUCUUGGCGGCCGGUCACCAGUGGUGGCCCUCAGGGCUCAGUUUUGGGGCCGGCUUUGUUUAAUGUCUUUAUCAAUGAUGUGGAUGAGGGGAUUGAGUGCACCCUCAGUAAGUUUGCAGAUGACACCAGACUGGGUGGGGGUGUUGAUCUGCUUGAGGGUAGGAAGGCUCUCCAGAGGGACCUGGACAGGCUGGAUCGAUGGGCCAAGGCCAACUCUAUGAGGUUUAAUAAGGCCAAGUGCCGGGUCCUGCAUUUCGGUCACAACAACCCACAGCAACGCUACAGGCUUGGGGCAGAGUGGCUGGAAAGCUGCCCGGCAGAAAAGGACCUGGGGGUGCUGGUGGACGGCCAGCUUAACAUGAGCCAGCAGUGUGCCCAGGUGGCCAAGAGGGCCAACAGCAUUCUGGCUUCUAUCAGGAAUAGCGUGGCCAGCAGGAGCAGGGAAGUGAUGGUGCCUCUGUACUGGGCACUGGUGAGGCCCCACCUCGAGUGCUGUGUUGAGUUCUGGGCCCCUCUGCACAAGAGGGACAUUGAGGUGCUGGAGCGUGUCCAGAGGAGAGCUACCAGGCUGGUGAGGGGUCUGGAGACCAGGGCAUAUGAGGAGAGGCUGCGGGAGCUGGGCAUGUUUAGCUUGGAGAAGAGGAGGCUGAGGGGAGACCUCAUUG